This 82-nucleotide transfer RNA is filed under the name Ixodes scapularis (black-legged tick). It matches the Rfam family "tRNA". Rfam says of the family: Transfer RNA (tRNA) molecules are approximately 80 nucleotides in length. The record is from Rfam by way of RNAcentral. Lineage: Eukaryota; Metazoa; Arthropoda; Arachnida; Ixodida; Ixodidae.
CCAGUCGUAGCCGAGUGGUUAAAGCGAUGGACUAGAACUCCAUUCGGGUUUCCCCGCACAGGUUUGAAUCCUGUCGACUGCG